GACGAACGCUGGCGGCGUGCUUAACACAUGCAAGUCGAACGGAAAGGCCCUGCUUGCAGGGUACUCGAGUGGCGAACGGGUGAGUAACACGUGGGUGAUCUGCCCUGCACUUCGGGAUAAGCCUGGGAAACUGGGUCUAAUACCGGAUAGGAGCCAUUUUUAGUGUGAUGGUUGGAAAGUUUUUUCGGUGUAGGAUGAGCUCGCGGCCUGUCAGCUUGUUGGUGGGGUAGUGGCCUACCAAGGCGGCGAGGGGUAGCCGGCCUGAGAGGGUGGACGGCCAAGUUGGGACGGGACUGAGACCCGGCCCCCAACGGGGGGGGGGGGUGGAGAAGGUUACAUAGGGGGCUGAGCCCUAGUCUGAGGCAGCCGGGUGGGGGGAGUGGUCAAGGGGUUUGGAACGUCUUUCCCUGUGGACGGAGAUUUUUAUGACGGUAACCUGAGAAGAAGGCCCGGCUAAAUUCGUG
RNAcentral lists this ribosomal RNA (464 nucleotides) under uncultured bacterium. RNAcentral describes it as "partial 16S ribosomal RNA". It matches the Rfam family "Bacterial small subunit ribosomal RNA", at positions 28 to 507 of the family's 1533-position model. The record is from RNAcentral.